Long non-coding RNA from Suricata suricatta (meerkat), 163 nucleotides. RefSeq lists it as uncharacterized. The transcript has 2 exons. The record is from RefSeq and is a predicted model, not a curated record. Lineage: Eukaryota; Metazoa; Chordata; Mammalia; Carnivora; Herpestidae.
AUAGAGCUACUCAGGUCCUAGCAAUUGCACUACUAGGUAAGCCUGGAUUUGAUGGAGAAGCCUCAAGCAAGGAAGAUGGAGAGCCAAAAUGAAUGAGAUUAUACUCCCUUCAGUGUCUGGAUGUUGUGAAUGAUUAGCCUGAAUAAAGAAAUAUUGAAUUGUU